Molecule: unclassified non-coding RNA, 244 nt
Filed under: Ramalinaceae sp.
Lineage: Eukaryota; Fungi; Ascomycota; Lecanoromycetes; Lecanorales; Ramalinaceae
Description: partial contains 5.8S ribosomal RNA, internal transcribed spacer 2, and large subunit ribosomal RNA
Source: RNAcentral
CGCACAUUGCGCCCCUCGGUAUUCCGGGGGGCAUACCUGUUCGAGCGUCAUUACACCUCUCAAGCGUAGCUUGGUAUUGGGCCUCGCUCCCUCAAAAGGGCGUGCCUGAAAAGUAGUGGCGGUCCGGCGUGGCCUUGAACGUAGUAAAUUUACCCCCGUUCUGAAGGUCCGCGUCGCGGCUGGCCAGAAUCGCCCACUUUCAAGAAUUGACCUCGGAUCAGGUAGGGAUACCCGCUGAACUUAA